Molecule: ribosomal RNA, 447 nt
Filed under: uncultured bacterium
Lineage: Bacteria
Description: bacterial SSU rRNA
Rfam family: Bacterial small subunit ribosomal RNA
Source: RNAcentral
UCCAGACUCCUACGGGAGGCAGCAGUGGGGAAUAUUGCACAAUGGGGGGAACCCUGAUGCAGCGACGCCGCGUGAGUGAAGAAGUCAUUCGUGAUGUAAAGCUCUAUCAGCAGGGAAGAAAAUGACGGUACCUGACUAAGAAGCCCCGGCUAACUACGUGCCAGCAGCCGCGGUAAUACGUAGGGGGCAAGCGUUAUCCGGAUUUACUGGGGGUAAAGGGAGCGUAGACGGCAGCGCAAGUCCGAAGUGAAAGCCCGGGGCCCAACCCCGGGACUGCUUUGGAAACUGUGAAGCUGGAGUGCGGGAGGGGCAGGCGGAAUUCCUGGUGUAGCGGUGAAAUGCGUAGAUAUCAGGAGGAACACCGGCGGCGAAGGCGGCCUGCUGGACCGUAACUGACGUUGAGGCUCGAAAGCGUGGGGAGCAAACAGGAUUAGAUACCCGAGUAGG